This 636-nucleotide ribosomal RNA is filed under the name uncultured bacterium. Its description in RNAcentral is "bacterial SSU rRNA". It matches the Rfam family "Bacterial small subunit ribosomal RNA", at positions 246 to 882 of the family's 1533-position model. The record is from RNAcentral.
UAGUUGGUGGGGUAACGGCUCACCAAGGCGACGAUACAUAGGGGGACUGAGAGGUUAACCCCCCACACUGGUACUGAGACACGGACCAGACUCCUACGGGAGGCAGCAGUGAGGAAUAUUGGUCAAUGGACGCAAGUCUGAACCAGCCAUGCCGCGUGCAGGAUGACGGCUCUAUGAGUUGUAAACUGCUUUUGUACGAGGGUAAACGCAGAUACGUGUAUCUGUCUGAAAGUAUCGUACGAAUAAGGAUCGGCUAACUCCGUGCCAGCAGCCGCGGUAAUACGGAGGAUUCAAGCGUUAUCCGGAUUUAUUGGGUUUAAAGGGUGCGUAGGCGGUUUGAUAAGUUAGAGGUGAAAUUUCGGGGCUCAACCCUGAACGUGCCUCUAAUACUGUUGAGCUAGAGAGUAGUUGCGGUAGGCGGAAUGUAUGGUGUAGCGGUGAAAUGCUUAGAGAUCAUACAGAACACCGAUUGCGAAGGCAGCUUACCAAACUAUAUCUGACGUUGAGGCACGAAAGCGUGGGGAGCAAACAGGAUUAGAUACCCUGGUAGUCCACGCAGUAAACGAUGAUAACUCGUUGUCGGCGAUACACAGUCGGUGACUAAGCGAAAGCGAUAAGUUAUCCACCUGGGGAGUA